Molecule: transfer RNA, 69 nt
Filed under: Oscillospiraceae bacterium
Lineage: Bacteria; Bacillati; Bacillota; Clostridia; Eubacteriales; Oscillospiraceae
Description: tRNA-OTHER
Rfam family: tRNA
About the family: Transfer RNA (tRNA) molecules are approximately 80 nucleotides in length. Their secondary structure includes four short double-helical elements and three loops (D, anti-codon, and T loops).
Source: RNAcentral
AAGGCGCACGAUUGGAAAUCGUGUAACGAUUAAACCCGUUCGAGGGUUCGAAUCCCUCCCUGUCCGCCA